CCAGAACCUCUGGAUGUGACGUUCAUGGAACACGACCUGGAUCAGAGGGCAGACGAGCACACGUCAGAGCAGAGACGAUAAAACCGUACGCUGUGACGAGAAGACGGCGUCCGCGUCAUACGUUGUUGUGGAUGAAGAGGCGGAGCUUAGCGCUCGGGUAGUUGAGUGUCACCAGUCGCUCCAGGAACUCCUCCAUGAAGGGAGUGGCGUGUUCGAUGAAGACCGCCACGUAGACCAGAGGCAUCUCCUCGUCCUGGAGACACACGGUUCACACACACACACAAGCGACAAAAGGCUCCGCCCAUUUCACUUUACAGAAAUAAAAAGUGCGAUUCGCGACACAACCGUCGUAGCGGAUGUUUGUCGUUUACCUUGGUCGGUCCGUUGCCAUGGAUAACGACAGGAAGUGUGUCGAAGGCGACGUUCCUCACUCUGACCUUUGCCCUCUCGAACUUCAGGACGACUUCAUCUGUCAGAGAACACGAGGGAAAAAGUGUAAGAGGUUGUUUUUUCGUGCUUAAAUUAUAGAGAAGGUAAGUGUGCGUGUGUGUGUGUGUGUGUGUGUGUGUGUGUCUCACCAACAGCUCCGUUCAGAUUCUGGAAAAUUCUGGAGCGAUGAUCCAACGUCAUGUUGAACUUGGUCUGAAGAGACAAAUGUUACAGUAAAGCAACAGAGCUGCAUGUGUCGCGUGUCGUGUGCUGUUCGUUCACCCGCUGCUUCUUGUCCAGGUAAAUCUUGGUGUAGAAGAGCUGGUCGUCGUCGUUGUCCUUGUAUUUCCACAGCUGCACCAUCUCACUGAGUUCUGGAGCGAAGCCGAUGAAUCCUGAACACAAACACAGACACACCCACGUUUCUCUCUUUAUUUCACCUCCAGGUAAACGGUGAGUGAAUCAAAUUGGGCUUUGGUUUCUGACCUCCUGA
Molecule: long non-coding RNA, 922 nt
Organism: Solea solea (common sole)
Lineage: Eukaryota; Metazoa; Chordata; Actinopteri; Pleuronectiformes; Soleidae
Exons: 3
Source: RefSeq, a predicted model, not a curated record